UGCAUUUACUACUGUAAGUCGCUCUGGAUAAGAGCUUCUGCUAAAUGACUAAAA
Non-coding RNA from Salmo salar (Atlantic salmon), 54 nucleotides. The record is from Rfam. Lineage: Eukaryota; Metazoa; Chordata; Actinopteri; Salmoniformes; Salmonidae.